RNAcentral lists this ribosomal RNA (585 nucleotides) under uncultured bacterium. RNAcentral describes it as "partial 16S ribosomal RNA". It matches the Rfam family "Bacterial small subunit ribosomal RNA", at positions 355 to 1375 of the family's 1533-position model. The record is from RNAcentral.
UGGGGAAUUUUGGACAAUGGGCGAAAGCCUGAUCCAGCAAUGCCGCGUGUGUGAAGAAGGCCUUCGGGUUGUAAAGCACUUUUGUCCGGAAAGAAAUCCUUGGCUCUAAUACAGUCGGGGGAUGACGGUACCGGAAGAAUAAGCACCGGCUAACUACGUGCCAGCAGCCGCGGUAAUACGUAGGGUGCAAGCGUUAAUCGGAAUUACUGGGCGUAAAGCGUGCGCAGGCGGUUUGCUAAGACCGAUGUGAAAUCCCCGGGCUCAACCUGGGAACUGCAUUGGUGACUGGCAGGCUAGAGUAUGGCAGAGGGGGGUAGAAUUCCACGUGUAGCAGUGAAAUGCGUAGAGAUGUGGAGGAAUACCGAUGGCGAAGGCAGCCCCCUGGGCCAAUACUGACGCUCAUGCACGAAAGCGUGGGGAGCAAACAGGAUUAGAUACCCUGGUAGUCCACGCCCUAAACGAUGUCAACUAGCUGUUGGGGUCUUCGGACCUUGGUAGCGCAGCUAACGCGUGAAGUUGACCGCCUGGGGAGUACGGUCGCAAGAUUAAAACUUAAAUGAAUUGACGGGGUCAUAGCUGUUUCCU